RNAcentral lists this long non-coding RNA (6313 nucleotides) under Homo sapiens (human). RNAcentral's name for it is "non-protein coding lnc-KCNB2-12:1". The record is from RNAcentral. Lineage: Eukaryota; Metazoa; Chordata; Mammalia; Primates; Hominidae.
CAAACCCCCUUUGACUGUAAUUUUCCUUUACCUACCCAAAUCCUAUAAAACAGCUCCACCCCUAUCUCCCUUCACUGACUCUCUUUUCGGACUCAGCCCCCCUGCACCCAGGUGAAAUAAACAGCCAUGUUGCUCACACAAAGCCUGUUUGGUGAUCUCUUCACAUGGAUGCACAUGAAAUUUGGUGCUGUGACUCAGAUCGGGGGACCUCCCUUGGGAGAUCAAUCCCCUGUACUCCUGUUCUUUGCUCCAUGACAAAGAUCCACCUAUGACCUCAGGUCCUCAGACCGACCAGCCCAAGGAACAUCUCACCAAUUGUAAAUCAGUGAACAUAUGAGAGUGCACCAACAUUUGAAUGUAUUUUCAAACUUUUGAAUUUUUACCAAUAUCAGUAUACUUUUAAUUUCAAUUUUCUUACUAUGGGUAAGUUGUACUUAUUUUUGUAUGGCUAAAGUGCACUUGGAUUUUAUUUUCUGUGUGUUCUAUGUUUUCAUUUCAAACACAUUUUUCUAUAGGAUUUUAAUCUUUUUCUCCUUUUUUGAGAACACUUUAGAAAAUAAGAUAUCCCCUGUUCUGUGUUAUAAGUUGCAAAUAUUGAUCUUGUCUUUUUACUUUGCUGGCUGUAUCUUUUGCCUUUCAAUAAUUUAUAUUUUUAUGUAAUAAAACAUCUAUUUUUCCUUUAUUUCUUCUGGAUUUUGAGUCUCUUCAGGUUACUGAUGGAUUCACCUAGUUUUUUUCUAGUAUUUUUAUAGUUUUACUUUUAUAUUUAAAUAUCUGAAAUAUUUAGAAUUUACCCAGCAUAGAGUAUACUACAAAAAAUGGAUCCAAAUUUACUUUUUUAUAUACUAUCCAGUUAUUCCAUUUAGAAGUUUUUUUUUUAACCUCUCUGUAACUCAGUUUCCUCAGCUGUAAAAUCAGUGUGCUAAUAGUACUUGCCUCAUAGAUUUAUUGUAUGGAUUAUAUGAGACAAUGUAGGUAUAGUACUUAGCAUGAUGCCUAGCACAUGAUAAAAGCUUAAUGAUGAUGAAGAUGUUGUAUUAGUAGAGACUUCAGUGGUUUUAGCCCCUUAUUCUGGUCUAAGGUCAGUAAUGAGCACUAAAAAGAGCUUCCAUAAAUGACUGGUAGUUUCUUAGCCAUCCUCCAAUGAGAGGGGUUGGUUUUAUUGUAGAACUGGUUGUAGAGGGCAGUAAGAACAGAUGUAAGUCCUGUGUGACAAGAAUGGGGAGAACUGUGAGAGGCUAAAAGACAAAUUGAUCUAGAGACAAAUAUUUCAACUUGUUCAAGAUAUACAUAAGUCAACAGCAUGUUCUUGGGUCUGAUUUCAGCAAAAUUGCUUUUGAUAGCUAAGCAAUUACUAUUCUGGGCAUAUUUAGUGGCCAGGGUUAGGAAAAAGAAAGGUUACACUGUAGUGAAAUCUUAUGAGUUAAGAUCUUCUGUUAAGUAGUACAUGUUUAUAAUUCUGAUUUUCAUGCAUAGUUUAAUAUCGCCUUCAUUAAUCUUAUCAGGUUAUUUUCCUUGACCACCUGCUUGCUGUAAAAGAACUCUAAAUGGACAAUGUAUUUCCAUAUCCCAAAAAAUGAUGUUUUUUUGGACAUAAGGUAUAUGUUUCAAUAUUACUUCACUGAUUGGAAAAUGGUAAUAUCAAAUAACCGGUCCCUCCGUUUGGGGUCCCUGACUUCCCGUGACACUGUUGAUUGACAAUCUGUCUACAGACCAUGUGUAGAAAUGUAGAAAUGAACACAAAGGCAUGAACACAAAUCUCUGACAUUGUAUAAUUUUAAACUGCAAUUAAUUACUAGCAGCUAUGCAAAAAAUAAUUUACAUUAGGAUAUAAUAAAUUUAUUGAAAAAUUAAGUAUACAUGCAUUUUUUUGCAUAAAUGCAAAAAGAAAUUGAGUGAAAAAAACAGUGCAAAAAGUCUAAGUAAGAGUUUAAGGUGAGGACAGUCAUGGAGAGGACCAUUUCAAUAUAUCACUACUGUUAUUCUUUUGUCAGUUAUAUAUGAAAAACACAUACAAAAGAAUGGAAAAGGAAGGUAAUAACAAUAUUAUUAGAUGAUAGUUGAUGUUUUUAUUUAAUAUAUGCUAUUAUCUAACAUAUGCUAUAAUUUAAUGACAUAAAGGGUCAAUAUAUACUCUGGCCCAUAUACUGGGUGACUUGGAGGCUCCCAUUUUUGAGCGGAGCACAAAACAUAAGGUGCUGUAGCAGCUCUAGGCUGUGGUAUAAUCAGCCUCCUGCCUUAGACCAUACAAUUUUAAAGUCCCUAUGGUGUUGGAGAAACCAGCAGUUGGAAAAGAUGCAGUAUGAAGCUCUUCUAAAUACUUUUUUUCUUGGCAAAGAAAAUGGCAAAGAUAUGUGCAAAUCUAAACAAACAUUAACUGCAUACACAAUAAGAAUAAUGUUCAAUAUGGGAGGAUUAAGAAAAUAUGUGAGAACGAAAAGAUUUAUGUAAUAACAUGUAUGCUGGGAUGUAGAUGGUCAGAGUUAACCCAUCCUAAAAUCUUUGCAUUAUUUGGUGCGAGGAAAAAGAUUUUGAUUAAUUUUAUAUUAAAGUCAGUGUUCUUGUUAGAAUUUUAAGAAUAACCACUGAAAAAAUUGUACUAGAAUAUGAAACUUGUAUACUAAUGCAGCAAAAAAAUGAAAUACAAAAUGUAAAAACUCAACCUACAUCAGAGAAGAACUUAAAAGUAGGAUAGAUUUAAAAACUCCAGUAGAAAUAAAUCAAAAUAUGUCAGUAAUCAUAAUAUAUUAUUUUGAGAUACAUAUAUACACAUUAUAAAACUAUGAAGUAAUUUUAGUCCUGAAUGAAGUUAUUAAACUUGACAAGGUUUGUUUGUUUUUGGAGUUGCUGUUUUAGAUCUUUCUUAGCUUUUCUUCCAGUGUUUAUUUAUACUUACUGUCAGGAACUUAUUCUAUAAAUCUUAUUGAAUCAUCAUCUUAAGGCAUCUUAUAACAUUUUAUUGUUUGUAAGAAGAGCAACUGAAAUAUCACUCAUUAUUCUUUCAAAUCAAAUCAGUGGCAUUUACUCUACUCUCUUAGCUAAAGCUCUCCUGGCCUCUGUUGCCGAGUGAAUCCUGAGGCUGCUGCAGCUGGGAGAAUUGAGGCAUAACCAUACCAGGUGAAGUAUGAAGUUAUGAGGAGAAAGGAACAGAGGACAACCACACAGAGAAAGUGUAGCUUUAUCUACUAGAGCUGAAGACAUUCAAAUUUAUGAUCCAACAAUUCUACUCUGAAGUGCAGUGGUGUAUAUACUGCAACAAUGUGUACUCAUGUGCCCUGAGAACUAGAUAUGAAAAAACCUUACAGCAAUAUGCAUAAUAGUAAAAAAAAAAAAAAAAAACUGGAAACAACAAAAAUGUUCAUUGACCAUAUACAAUGAUAAAUGUGGUAUACUCGUAGCAUGGAAAACUACACAACAUUGAAAAUGAACAAACUAAAACUGUACACAGCAACAUGAACGAAUUCCACAGAUAAUAUUGAGUGAAAGAUACCAGACACCAAAUAAUAUCCCAUAUGAUUUCAUUUACAUUAAAUGUUUUUUUUUUGAGAUGGAGUCUCGCUCUGUUGCCCAGGCUGGAGUGCAGUGGCACAAUCUUGGCUCACUGCAACCUCUGCUUUUCAGGUUCAAGCUAUUCUCCCACUUCAGCCUCCCCAGUAGCUGGGACUACAGGUACCUGCCACCACGCCCAACUAAGUUUUGUGUUUUCAGUAGAUAUGGGGGUUUCACCAUGUUGGCCAGGCUGGUCUUGAACUCCUGGCCUCAAGUGAUCUGCCCACCACGGCCUUCCAAAGUGCUGGGAUUACAGGUGUGAGCCACCGUGCCCGGCCUCAUUUAUAUUAAAUUUAACACAGGCAGACUAAUCCAUUAUGCUAGAAGUCAGGAGAGUGGUUACUUUGAGGAAGAGAGGACUGACUGAUCAGGCUUGAGGGGAUUCUAAAGUGGUGGCAGGGUUUGGUUUCUUGACCAAUAUUACUGAUAUUCAUUAUGGAGCUCCUUAAACACUUUAAAUUUUACUUGUGUAAUGGGAUUAUGUCUACUUCAAGCGGUUAUUGUAAGGAUUAAAUAACAAUGUAUGUAAAGUGCUGUGCAGUGUACCAUGUCUAAUAAAUACUCCAACAGCUGUAAUUGUCAUUGCUAUCAAUAUCACUGUUAAGCUGUAUAUAUAAUAAGUUUUGAAAACUUACAUAGUUAACCAUAUUCAAUCUCCAUUUUGUGUUAGACAGUUCUCAAACCCUGAGGUGCUUUCCUGGAAACAGUCCUAUUGAAAGCAGCUGCUCCAUUAUUGUAAGGAUGUUGUUGAGGGUAUUGGUGUUAUAGCACAUUUGUUCUCUUGGGAAGGACCUACCGAAGAAAUAUCUUUCUGAUCUCAAUUUGAAAUUAAUUGUACUCUCCUGAGCAACAGAUUUUGAUUAUUGUCCAAGUUUAAUAUUACACACAUUGUGAAUCCUGUAGGGAAAUGUAUCUUUCUUCUUGGCUUUCUAUUUGGAUACUGAAAAUCUUAGAAUCAAAUCUGUGCUCUAGCUUUAUCAAAUGUAUAUAGACUUACACCAUGCAUUUUCUGGAUAAACUGCGUUUUCCUUAUUUACUUGUUUUUGUUUGUUUUUGUCUCAUGUUUAUGUAAGCUACCUUAAAUUCUUUUGGGAGCAAGCAGAAGGCUUAAGCACAUAAACGAAAAACAAAUAAAUGACAUCAUGUUGGAUUUAGUUAUGGAAAUAUCUGCCAAGACAGUAGUAUUCACCAAGUUGAAACUCUUAAAAAAUGUGCUGAAUAAAUGAAUACAUGAGCGAUUUGGCAUUUGGGGAUGGCUCCAUUAAAAACAAAAUAGAACUUGAGCAAAACUUUGGAAAAAUUGAAGCCUGUGUAAUGAAUAAGGGACUGGGGCAUAUUGAAAAUGAUAGUAUAAAAUGGAGUGAAAUCAGCAUGGCACUGUGAUCCACAGAACAUCCUAUUCAGAGUACAGAAGUGUUGGCGAUAGACGUCAAUUGAUGACUGUGAUGGGGGACACUUUCUUCUUCACAAUAAAAUGAAGAAGGGACAAAUCCAAGUAGAAAAAUUAAUAGCCUUAGUAACAAAUUACACAGAAAGUGCAGAAAAGGAGAAAUCAGGAGUCUUUUCAAGAUUGUUUUUGGCUUAACAUAGAAAUGAAAAUUUGAGGGACAGCCAACUAAAGAAGCCAUACUCAAACAGCUCAUGAGACACAGUUACAAGUCCAGGCAAUUAAUUUCUUCAUUGUAAAUCACAAAUUUAGAAUUUGUGAAUUCUGAUGAUGUAGUUUUGUAUUUCGUACAUUAAUAAAUCAGUGGAAUGUAAUAUUUCUCCUUUGGGAUUGAUUGCAAGCAAAGGUCAGUUAGGACUUGAACAAUGGAUGGAGCAGAAGGGAUAAAAAAUUGCAUCAUUUUAUCAUGGUUUUAGUACUUUUAUAACAAAACAUAAAUGCAUGGUUUGUAUCAACAAAUGAAUAAAAGAAUUGUAAAAAGGUCUACAUAGGGAGACCUUAAUUAGGGAAGCUUGGGUAUACUCUGGUUUUCAGCUUUCCCACCUUUCAUUUGAUUUUUUCAUCAUCUUAGUUUUUCCUUUGUGAGGCAAUUUCCUGAGGAAAAACUGGGGUUACUGCCUUUAGUGUCUGCUCACCCCCAACAAGCUUUUCCUUUCCUGUUACUGUUUUUUCUUCCUUUGAUUUUUUUUUUUUCUCUGAAACAUACGUAUCAAUGAGUUCUUUCACUUGAUAAUCCUGAGAGUCCUGGAUCCGAACUGCAACUUGAGGCAGAGAUUUGGGGGAUCUAUUUUUACGUACAUUAUCUUCAUUUUGAAGGUGAAGAAGCCAACUGUAGGUGAAUUUUCCAGGACUGAGCAGAGUUUAGAGUUCAGAAAUCAUACACAAAUAGCCAUCAACAGUGAAUCCUGUCCUCUUGAUUCCUAUUCUGACUUCUGCAAGUUUUCCAACUAUGGCCUUUACCUCUACUUCCCUCUACACAUCACCAUUGUAACCCAUGUGUAUUUGAGGUCAAAUCUGGCCAAGAGUACCCUAUAAGUUGAGAAAGUAAUCCUAAUGUUCUGAGCACAAAAUAGUGUUCUUUGUAGCAUAAAAAAGGACCUUGACACACUAUUAAAUUUUAAAUUAUUUUAGUACAUGUUUUUAUAUUUUAUUUCAUUUUUGAAAAUAGAAUAUUUGUUCAAAGAUAUUUGUCAAGAUAAAACUUUUCUUAUGAUAAUUAAAUUACAAAAAGGAUUGCAUUAUGUGGAAAAUUAUUGUUUUCUUUUUUUUUUGAAUGUAUGGUACCUUCCAGCCUGUUACUCGUGCAAAUACUCCAAA